ACUCAAAUGAAUUGACGGGGACUCGCACAAGCGGUGGAUCAUGUGGCUUAAUUCGUAGCUAAGCGAAGAACCUUACCCAGGCUAGAAACCAUACUGCACGCCUCCAGAAACGGAGGAAGCCUUCGAGGGUGUAUGGCAGGUGAUGCAUGGUUGUCGUCAGUUCGUGGCUUGAGCUGUUCCCUUCAGUGGGGUAACGAACGCAACCCUCGUUGUCUGUUACUUAUGUCAGGCGAGACUGCCCCCUCACGGGGGAGGAAGGUGAGGAUGACGCCAAAUCAGCAUGUCCCUUGAUGCCUGGGGCUGCACACGUGAUACAAUGGUCGGUACAGAAGGAAGCAAUACCGCAAGGUGGAGCAAAUCCCAAAAACCGACCCCAGUACGGAUUGAGGUCUGCAACCGACCUCAUGAAGCCGGAAUCGCUAGUAAUCGUGGGUCAGCCAUACCACGGUGAAUACGUUCUCGAGUCUUGUACACACCGCCCGU
This 483-nucleotide ribosomal RNA is filed under the name uncultured bacterium. RNAcentral describes it as "partial 16S ribosomal RNA". It matches the Rfam family "Bacterial small subunit ribosomal RNA", at positions 899 to 1397 of the family's 1533-position model. The record is from RNAcentral.